CACGGGGGGAGCAAGCGUUGUUCGGAUUCAUUGGGCGUAAAGAGCUCGUAGGCCGCUCUGUAAGUCGGAAGUGAAAGACCACGGCUCAACCGUGGAAACGCUUUCGAAACUGUGGAGCUUGAGGCCGGGAGAGGAGAUUGGAAUUCCUGGUGUAGCGGUGAAAUGCGUAGAUAUCUGGAGGAACACCGAUGGCGAAGGCAGCCUUCUGGGCCACAACUGACGCUGAGGUACGAAAGCGUGGGUAGCAAACAGG
This 253-nucleotide ribosomal RNA is filed under the name uncultured bacterium. RNAcentral's name for it is "partial 16S ribosomal RNA". It matches the Rfam family "Bacterial small subunit ribosomal RNA", at positions 524 to 776 of the family's 1533-position model. The record is from RNAcentral.